RNAcentral lists this non-coding RNA (21 nucleotides) under Caenorhabditis elegans. Lineage: Eukaryota; Metazoa; Nematoda; Chromadorea; Rhabditida; Rhabditidae. The record is from RNAcentral.
UAUUUUAGAACACCUUCAAAG